Molecule: transfer RNA, 75 nt
Filed under: Planctomycetota bacterium
Lineage: Bacteria; Pseudomonadati; Planctomycetota
Description: tRNA-Gln
Rfam family: tRNA
About the family: Transfer RNA (tRNA) molecules are approximately 80 nucleotides in length.
Source: RNAcentral
UGGCCCGUGGUGUAAUUGGUAACACAGCGGUUUUUGGUACCGUUAUUCGGGGUUCGAGUCCCUGCGGGCCAACCA